RNAcentral lists this ribosomal RNA (1471 nucleotides) under metagenome. Its description in RNAcentral is "bacterial SSU rRNA". It matches the Rfam family "Bacterial small subunit ribosomal RNA". The record is from RNAcentral.
AGAGUUUGAUCCUGGCUCAGGACGAACGCUGGCGGCACGCCUAACACAUGCAAGUCGAACGGAGAAAAUGAUUUCGGUUAUUUUCUUAGUGGCGGACGGGUGAGUAACACGUGAGGAACCUGCCUCUGAGAGUGGGAUAGCUUCUGGAAACGGAUGGUAAUACCGCAUAACAUAGCGAAACCGCAUGAUUUUGCUAUCAAAGUAUUUCGCUCAGAGAUGGCCUCGCGUCUGAUUAGAUAGUUGGUGAGGUAACGGCUCACCAAGUCGACGAUCAGUAGCCGGACUGAGAGGUUGAACGGCCACACUGGGACUGAGACACGGCCCAGACUCCUACGGGAGGCAGCAGUGGGGGAUAUUGCACAAUGGGGGAAACCCUGAUGCAGCGAUGCCGCGUGGAGGAAGAAGGUUUUCGGAUUGUAACUCCUGUCGUAAGGGAAGAGAAAGGACUGUACCUUACAAGAAAGCUCCGGCUAACUACGUGCCAGCAGCCGCGGUAAUACGUAGGGAGCGAGCGUUGUCCGGAAUGACUGGGUGUAAAGGGAGCGUAGGCGGGAUGGCAAGUCAGAUGUGAAACCUGAGGGCUCAACCUUCAGACUGCAUUUGAAACUGCUGUUCUUGAGUGAAGUAGAGGUAAGCGGAAUUCCUGGUGUAGCGGUGAAAUGCGUAGAGAUCAGGAGGAACAUCGGUGGCGAAGGCGGCUUACUGGGCUUUUACUGACGCUGAGGCUCGAAAGCGUGGGGAGCAAACAGGAUUAGAUACCCUGGUAGUCCACGCUGUAAACGAUGAUUACUAGGUGUGGGGGGAUUGACCCCUUCCGUGCCGCAGUUAACACAAUAAGUAAUCCACCUGGGGAGUACGACCGCAAGGUUGAAACUCAAAGGAAUUGACGGGGGCCCGCACAAGCAGUGGAGUAUGUGGUUUAAUUCGAAGCAACGCGAAGAACCUUACCAAGUCUUGACAUCCUUCUGACCGGUACUUAACCGUACCUUCUCUUCGGAGCAGGAGUGACAGGUGGUGCAUGGUUGUCGUCAGCUCGUGUCGUGAGAUGUUGGGUUAAGUCCCGCAACGAGCGCAACCCUUAUCUUUAGUAGCCAGCGGUUUAGCCGGGCACUCUAGAGAGACUGCCAGGGAUAACCUGGAGGAAGGCGGGGAUGACGUCAAAUCAUCAUGCCCCUUAUGACUUGGGCUACACACGUGCUACAAUGGCGUAAACAAAGGGAAGCAAAGCUGUGAAGCCGAGCAAAUCUCAAAAAUAACGUCUCAGUUCGGACUGUAGUCUGCAACCCGACUACACGAAGCUGGAAUCGCUAGUAAUCGCAGAUCAGAAUGCUGCGGUGAAUACGUUCCCGGGUCUUGUACACACCGCCCGUCACACCAUGGGAGUUGGGAAUGCCCGAAGCCAGUGACCUAACCGAAAGGAAGGAGCUGUCGAAGGCAGGCUCGAUAACUGGGGUGAAGUCGUAACAAGGUA